RNAcentral lists this long non-coding RNA (213 nucleotides) under Lathyrus oleraceus (garden pea). RNAcentral's name for it is "Pisum sativum (pea) long non-coding RNA (PSAT_LNC011897)". The record is from RNAcentral. Lineage: Eukaryota; Viridiplantae; Streptophyta; Magnoliopsida; Fabales; Fabaceae.
UUAAUUAAUUUUAUUUAUUUAUUUAUUUUUAACUUUUUUUUUUUAUAUAUAUUUUGUUUUUCGUUUUUUUUUUCGUUUUUUUUUUUGUUUUUUUUGUUUUUUUUGUUUUUAGGAAAAAUGAAGGGUAAAUUUUGGGGUAUUACAGGGUGGUACACCACUAUCAACAUGAGCAUAACUUGUGACACUUUUCAUAACAUUCUAUAUGGUAUUAUC